This 434-nucleotide ribosomal RNA is filed under the name uncultured Ruminococcus sp. RNAcentral's name for it is "partial 16S ribosomal RNA". It matches the Rfam family "Bacterial small subunit ribosomal RNA", at positions 341 to 792 of the family's 1533-position model. Lineage: Bacteria; Bacillati; Bacillota; Clostridia; Eubacteriales; Oscillospiraceae. The record is from RNAcentral.
ACGGAAGGCAGCAGUGGGGAAUAUUGCACAAUGGGCGCAAGCCUGAUGCAGCGAUGCCGCGUGAGGGAAGAAGGUUUUCGGAUUGUAAACCUCUGUCAACAGGGACGAAAAUGACGGUACCUGUGAAGGAAGCUCCGGCUAACUACGUGCCAGCAGCCGCGGUAAUACGUAGGGAGCAAGCGUUAUCCGGAAUUACUGGGUGUAAAGGGCGUGUAGCCGGGUCGGUAAGUCAGAUGUGAAAUCUACGGGCUCAACUCGUAAACUGCAUUUGAAACUGCUGAUCUUGAGUAUCGGAGAGGCAAUCGGAAUUCCUAGUGUAGCGGUGAAAUGCGUAGAUAUUAGGAGGAACACCAGUGGCGAAGGCGGAUUGCUGGACGACAACUGACGGUGAGGCGCGAAAGCGUGGGGAGCAAACAGGAUUAGAUACCCUGGUA